GUCUUACUGAUUAUAAUUUUAAGUCAAAUYUGCUCAAUGAAAUAAUUUUAAAWAGCUGCCGUAUAAAUAACUGUACAAAGGUAGCAUAAUAAUUAGUUUUUUAAUUAAAAACUAGAAUGAAAGAUUUAAUGAAAUAUAGACUUUAUUAAUUUAAUAAAAAUUAAAUUUUUUAUUUAAUUUAAAAAAAUUAAAUAAAAUUAAAAGACGAGAAGACCCUAUAGAAUUUUAUUUUUAACUAAAAAUAUAUAAUAAUUAUUUUUAAUUAUAAAAAUUUAAUUGGGGAAAUUUUAAAAUUUAAAUAAUUUUUAAAUAUAAUAACAAAAAUUAUUGAAUAUAAUAUAUUUUUUUUUUAAAAAAAAAAUAAAUUAAAUUACCUUAGGGAUAACAGCAUAAUUUUUUUAAAAAGUUCAAAUUUWUAAAAAAGUUUAU
Molecule: ribosomal RNA, 429 nt
Filed under: Mirax sp. JCB-2006
Lineage: Eukaryota; Metazoa; Arthropoda; Insecta; Hymenoptera; Braconidae
Description: partial 16S ribosomal RNA
Source: RNAcentral